UUCGGCCACACUCGCAUCGGUCCCUGUGAGAAAACAACCCUAGGGCCCUCGGGGGGCCAAAAAAUCACGGAAAAACGGAGCUUACCGGCGGCGGCGCUCUCGGGUGCGGCGGCUCUCCGGCGAGGUUCGUGUUUUGGUGAUUCGGCUCCGGUCAACCUGUAGAGAAAAGAAUGGUGAUCACGGUGAUAUAAAAAUUGCAUCAAACGGAGGCCGGGAAAGGCCUCAUCGGAGGCAAAAACCGAGAGGGGGCGCGGCGGCGCCACUGGCCUUCGGCCGCGUAUUCCGGCCGUUUGGCCGGGAUUUUGGCUCCGAUUUGGCCACAAGAGGAAUCAGCGUGGAAAAACGAGUCGGGGGUAUGAAAUUUACCUCGAUCGGCGGUCGAAAAUUUCCCCGGCGCGGCGGCGGGUGGCGGCGGCCGGCUUCUGGUUUGUCUUCUCCGGCGAGCGGCAGGCGGCAAGGGUUUGUGGUCUGGUGUGGGGGUUCUAUUUAUAACCCCUUGCCUUUUGAUCUCAGCCGUUCAUUUUGUUUUAAUCUGGGCCGUUCGUUUUUGAUUGAAUCUGGGCCGUCCGUGCGAUUGCAUCUGGGCCGUCCGAUCGCGCGAUUGAUCUGGGCCGUCCGAUCGCACCCACGCGGAUCGUCAACGUGGCCCCUUUUCGGAGCGACGUGGUCUUGCCACGUGGCAGGCCCCGGUUGGCCGGGACUGCUGACGUGGCUGCCGAC
RNAcentral lists this long non-coding RNA (720 nucleotides) under Carica papaya (papaya). RNAcentral describes it as "long non-coding RNA (CPAP_LNC009709)". Lineage: Eukaryota; Viridiplantae; Streptophyta; Magnoliopsida; Brassicales; Caricaceae. The record is from RNAcentral.